RNAcentral lists this ribosomal RNA (407 nucleotides) under uncultured bacterium. RNAcentral describes it as "bacterial SSU rRNA". It matches the Rfam family "Bacterial small subunit ribosomal RNA", at positions 355 to 776 of the family's 1533-position model. The record is from RNAcentral.
UUAGGAAUUUUGCGCAAUGGGCGAGAGCCUGACGCAGCAACGCCGCGUGAGGGAUGAAGGCCUUCGGGUUGUAAACCUCUUUUAGUGGGGACGAAUACAAUGACGGUACCCGCAGAAAAAGCACCGGCGAACUCUGUGCCAGCAGCCGCGGUAAUACAGAGGGUGCAAGCGUUAUUCGGAUUUAUUGGGCGUAAAGGGCGCGUAGGCGGUUUGUUAAGUCUGAUGUGAAAGCCCUGGACUUAAUUCAGGAAGUGCAUCGGAUACUGGCAGACUUGAGCGUAGGAGAGGAGAGUGGAAUUCCAGGUGUAGAGGUGAAAUUCGUAGAUAUCUGGAGGAACAACAGUGGCGAAGGCGACUCUCUGGACUACUGCUGACGCUGAGGCGCGAAAGCGUGGGGAGCAAACAGG